AUAAAACAAAUCUGAAGUUAAGAAAACAAACAAAAAACGUGAAAUACUAUGUGGAAAAAACUGAUUUGAAAAAUUUAUUGAAGGUAAUAUUUCAAGUAUUUUAGUACUUUCUACUUGACCACCUUUUUUUAGAUUGCAAUUCAAAUAUUUGUUUUUAAAAUAUUUAUUUUUGUCAAACUUGCAUCCUCACUUAUUUGCUGCCAAUAGUUCACAGAAUUUUUUUUAUUAUUUAAGAACUCUCUGCAAUUUUUUACCAUUUCUCAUCCUUUACUCAAACACUACUCAUAAUCGUAAUGCAGGAUGUUUUGAGCUUUAUUGUCAUCUUCCUUUAUUCUGACGUGCAAACAGGCGCAUAAACAAGUGUGACUCAAGAAAUAAAUAAAUAACCCUGCCUAUUUUGAGUAUGUGAUGCACAAAUACGUAAAACAUGAGCAGUCUUUGAAUUGCAUUUGAAUUACAUAAAGCAGCGGAGAGUGUGAGUAAGUCAGAAGCCGGAUCCUGCUUUCUUAAACAGGAAACUCUGUCAUUGUACCUCGAAGGGAGAGGGAUUUCCUUGAGAAACACCUAUGAGGUCAUACUGGGCCGUGCCGAACAAAGCACUCCAGAGGAACACUGUGUCCCCUGUCUGAACGUGGAACAGAAUAGACGCCGCUAACCAAAGCUGCCUUAAUGGCAAUAUCAGAGGGGCUCCACCUCCUCACGAGAAGCUCCAGCCAGCAGACAGACUCAUGGCUCCUGCUGUGUCUGGAUAUCUUGGGCUCAGCAUGUUACCUUCAUUUACACACAAAGGCCUGAUAAUCGAGCACUCUACUCCGAUACUCCCCACAGAGACUGCUGGCUCACCCUGAUUCUUGGCUCCUGUUUCAGACACUUGUGUGUCUGGAUCUCCUGUGAUACAGAUGUGAUAGUUGCCGAGAAGAAGUAGGCGCAAUUCCAGAUGGAAGUUUAUAUGUGAUAUUUAUUUUCCAUACAGUGGGCAUUUCACCAAUGGCCUUUCCCUGUUGAGGCUACUAAUCCAUUAUACAUUACUCCAAAACCACUUGUUUAAAACAAAAGAAACUAUAUCAACCACCCAUAAUAAUAAUAAUAACACAUUAAAAUUUAAUUAAAUUGAAUCCCUCAUAAAUGCUGUUUGAUUCAACUACACUAAAAAAAAAUACUAUUUCAGUCUUUGCACUUCAAAAUGUCAUGUUUGAUGCAAUGUAUUUGCCAUUUCAUGUUCUCAUUGACUGCUUGUUGGCUAGCAAUAUCUGAGUGAAAAUUGUCCCUACACCAAAUGUUUUUAGUGUAUGGUAAAACUGCUACACUAUAGUUAAAUUACAUAUUUAAUCUUG
Long non-coding RNA from Carassius auratus (goldfish), 1334 nucleotides. RefSeq lists it as uncharacterized. The transcript is spliced from 2 exons. NCBI's taxonomy places the organism in Eukaryota, Metazoa, Chordata, Actinopteri, Cypriniformes, Cyprinidae. The record is from RefSeq and is a predicted model, not a curated record.